RNAcentral lists this ribosomal RNA (302 nucleotides) under uncultured bacterium. Its description in RNAcentral is "partial 16S ribosomal RNA". It matches the Rfam family "Bacterial small subunit ribosomal RNA", at positions 508 to 807 of the family's 1533-position model. The record is from RNAcentral.
GCAGCCGCCGCGGUAAUACGAAGGGGGCUAGCGUUGCUCGGAAUCACUGGGCGUAAAGGGUGCGUAGGCGGGUCUUUAAGUCAGAGGUGAAAGCCUGGAGCUCAACUCCAGAGCUGCCUUUGAUACUGGAGAUCUCGAGUUCGGGAGAGGUGAGUGGAACUGCGAGUGUAGAGGUGAAAUUCGUAGAUAUUCGCAAGAACACCAGUGGCGAAGGCGGCUCACUGGCCCGAUACUGACGCUGAGGCACGAAAGCGUGGGGAGCAAACAGGAUUAGAUACCCGCGUAGUCCCUGUCUCUUAUAC